GAUGAACGCUGGCGGAGUGCCUAAUACAUGCAAGUCGAGCGAACGGACGAGAAACUUGCUCCUAUGAUGUUAGCGGCGGAAGGGCGAGUAACACGUGGAUAACCUACCUAUAAGACUGGGAUAACUUCGGGAAACCGGAGCUAAUACCGGAUAAUAUUUUGAACCGCAUGGUUCAAAAGUGAAAGACGGUCUUGCUGCCACUUAUAGAUGGAUCCGCGCUGCAUUAGCUAGUUGGUAAGGUAACGGCUUACCAAGGCAACGAUGCAUAGCCGACCUGAGCGGGUGAUCCGCCACACAGGAACUGAGACACGGUCCAGACUCCUACGGUAGGCAGCAGUAGGGAAUCUUCCGCAAUGGGCGAAAGCCUGACGGAGCAACGCCGCGUGAGUGAUGAAGGUCUUCGGAUCGUAAAGCUCUGUUAUUAGGGAGGAACGUAUGUGUAAGUAACUGUGCACAUCUUGACGGUACCUAGUCAGAAAGCCACGGCUAACUACGUG
RNAcentral lists this ribosomal RNA (497 nucleotides) under uncultured bacterium. RNAcentral's name for it is "partial 16S ribosomal RNA". It matches the Rfam family "Bacterial small subunit ribosomal RNA", at positions 28 to 507 of the family's 1533-position model. The record is from RNAcentral.